This 3106-nucleotide ribosomal RNA is filed under the name uncultured archaeon. Its description in RNAcentral is "bacterial LSU rRNA". It matches the Rfam family "Archaeal large subunit ribosomal RNA". The record is from RNAcentral.
AAAGUCAGCUGUAUCCAGGGACGAAAGACGCCACCUGGAGGAUGGCUCGGCUCGAGGGGCGAAGAAGGGCGUGGCAAGCUGCGAUAAGCCCCGGGGAGGCGCAAGCAGCCUUCGAUCCGGGGAUGCCCGAAUGGGAUACCUACCAGACCUUUAAGGUCUGGUAGACACGUCGUUAGACGUGUCUGCGAACCCUCUGAAAGGAAACAUCUGAGUAAGAGGAGGAAAAGAAAUCAAUUCGAGAUGCCCUUAGUAGCGGAGAGCGAAGAGGGCACAGCCCAAACCGAACCUUCAUAGCGAUGAGCUGUGAGGGGAUGUGGGGUUUUGUCCUAGCGGUGGGCGGAGCCCGGUCCAGCCGACGUGCCUAGUCGAAGUGGCCUGAAAAGGCCUGCCAUAGAGGGUGAUAGCCCCGUAGACUAAAGGCAUGGGCGGACUGAGCUAGGACAGAGUACCCGGCCUUGGCAGUGGUUGGGGAAGAUGGGGGAAAGCGGCCCCUAAGGCUAAAUACCUCUCGAGACCGAUAGCGGACAAGUACCGUGAGGGAAAGUUGAAAAGCACCCCGGAAGGGGGGUGAAAAGAGCCUGAAACCAGGUGGCUAUAAGCGUGCAGUGCCUGAAAGGAACCUUCCUGAUGCGCUGUGGCCGCAAGGCUGCAGUGCGUUGGCAGGGUUUCAGGGUACUGCGUUCCGUCUAGAAACACGGGCCAGGGAGUUCAUCUCAAUGGCGAGUUUAAGGGUUUCUUAAGCCCGAAGGCGAAGGGAAACCGAUACUCCGCAGCCCCAAAAGGGCGAGGGAGGGGGUGUUAUAAGCGCCCCAUAGCCAUUGGGAUGAGACUAGAAACCGAGCGAUCUUGCCCUGGGCAGGGCGAAGCCGGGGGAAACCCUGGUGGAAGCCCGAAAGGGUCCUGACGUGCAGUUCGGUCCCCUGAACUAGGGCAAGGGGCCAAAAACUAAUCUAGCUCGGUGAUAGCUAGUUCCCGCCGAAGCUGAUCCCAGUCAGGCCCCGGCAGAUGCUGCUGGCGCGGUAGAGCACCGAUGGGGUGACAAGGGACCGAAAGGUCCCAUCACCCUUUCGAACUCCGAACGUGCUGGCACAGAAGAAGCCGGGAGACGGGUUUGUGGGGGUAAGCCCCACAACCGAGAGGGGGACAACCCAGACCGGCGUUAAGGCCCCCAAGUACAGGCUAAGUGCCAAACCAAAGGGCGUCUUUCCGCUUAGACAGCAGGGGGGUAGGCUCAGAAGCAGCCAUCCCCUAAGGAGUGCGUAACAGCUCACCUGCCGAGCGGGGAGGCCCCGAAAAUGGACGGGGCUAAGCCUGUCGCCGAUACGCCGGAUCACCUCUGUUAAAGAGGUGUGUGGUAGGCGGGCGUAGAGGCCGCGCAGAAGCAGGGCCGUGAGGUCCUGUGGAGUGGCCUCUAGUGCAGAUCCUGGUGGUAGUAACAGCGUAGCCGGGUGAGAAUCCCGGCCGCCGGAAGGCCAAGGUUUUCUUGGCAACGCGUCGUCAGCCAAGAGUAAGCCGGUCCUAAGGACCAUCCCGCAAGGGAUAGGUCUGAAUGGGAAACCGGUUAAUAUUCCGGUGCCUUCAGCCCUACCCGUAAGGGGACGCUCAGUCCUCUUGCCUCUAGAUAGGGGAAGCAGAGCUGUCGCUCUGUCUAACUCUCCAAGCGCGGGGGAGUGUCGUAAUGACGAGAACCCGUGCGAGGGAGGAAUGGCCUGCCGUAUGGCGGGUUUCCUCGAUUCUAGGGGACAGUGAAAGGAGGAUUGAGCUAAAGGCUGGAGACCGUACCAAGAACCGACACUGGUGGCCUGGGUGAGAAGCCUAAGGCGUGUCGGGGAUACCGCAGGCGAGGGAACUCGGCAAAUUAGCCCCGUAACUUCGGGAGAAGGGGUGCCUGCGAUCCUGGCGAAGAGCUGGGAUCGCAGGUCGCAGUGACAAGGGGGUCCCGACUGUUUAAUAAAAACAUAGGUGGCCGCUAGUCCGUAAGGAUUUGUACGGCCGCUGAAUCCUGGCCAGUGGCGGUACCUAAAACCCGGGUUCAACCGGGCUAAGGGCCGCUAAACGCCGGGGGUAACUCUGACCCUCUUAAGGUAGCCAAAUGCCUUGUCGGGUAAGUUCCGACGUGCAUGAAUGGAUCAACGAGGGCCCCGCUGUCCCCGCCUGCUACCCGGUGAACCCACGUAAGGUGGACGAACAGUCCACCUCCCCCCAUCGGGGAGAGAAGUCCCUGUGGAGCUUUACUGCAGCCUGCAGCUGCGAUGUGGGCGCGACUACAGAGAGUAGCUGGGAGCCAAUGAAGCCUGGCCUUUGGGUCAGGUCGAGGCGCAAGUGUAACACCAGCUAGUCGUGCCUACGUCGCUAACCAGGAUAGAACCUGGGACACCUGCAGGUGGGCAGUUCGGCUGGGGCGGCACCCCCUCGAAAAGGUAUCGAGGGGGCCCUAAGGUCGGCUCAGGUGGGUCAGGAACCCACCGUAGAGGGCAAGGCCAAAAGCCGGCCUGACUGGACCCCUAAAAGCGUCGGGUCCAGAGGGGAAACCCGGGCCUAGCGAACCAUCGUGCCCCCUCCGUUGGGGGCCGGUGACGACAGAAAAGUUACCCCAGGGGUAACAGGCUCGUCGCGGGCGAGAGUUCCCAUCGACCCCGCGGUUUGGUACCUCGAUGUCGGCUCUUCCCAUCCUGGCCCUGCAGCAGGGGCCAAGGGCGGGGCUGCUCGCCCAUUAAAGGGGAACGUGAGCUGGGUUUAGACCGUCGCGAGACAGGUCGGACUCUACCUGAUGGGGGUGCGCGCUGACUGAGGGGAACUUGCCCUUAGUACGAGAGGAACGGGGCAAGGCGGCCUCUGGUGUACCGGUCCUCCGACAGGGGGAGCCGGGUAGCUAAGCCGCUGAGGAUAACCCCUGAAAGCAUCUAAGGGGGAAGCCUCUCCCGAAAAAAGUCAGCGUUCCCGAUCCUCUUCUGCCCGCAAGGGUGGAGGAGGAAAGGGUGAAGGGCUGCCGUAAAAGACGGCGUCGAUAGGACGGGAGGUGUACGCGGGAAGGCCCUUCGGGGUCGACCCGUUCAGCCCACCGUUACUAAAAGCCCGAUACGUCUCUGGAUGCAGCUGGCCGUCA